GACGAACGCUGGCGGCGUGCUUAACGCAUGCAAGUCGAGCGGUAAGGCCCUUUCGGGGGUACACGAGCGGCGAACGGGUGAGUAACACGUGGGUGACCUGCCCUCAGUUCUGGGAUAAGCCUGGGAAACCGGGUCUAAUACUGGAUAUGACCUCAUGACGCAUGUUGUGGGGUGGAAAGCCUUGUGCGACUGAGGAUGGGGCCCGCGGCCUAUCAGCUUGUUGGUGGGGUGAUGGCCUACCAAGGCGACGACGGGUAGCCGGCCUGAGAGGGCGACCGGCCACACUGGGACUGAGACACGGCCCAGACUCCUGCGGGAGGCAGCAGUGGGGAAUCUUGCGCAAUGGGCGAAAGCCUGACGCAGCGACGCCGCGUGAGGGAUGACGGCCU
This 389-nucleotide ribosomal RNA is filed under the name uncultured bacterium. RNAcentral's name for it is "bacterial SSU rRNA". It matches the Rfam family "Bacterial small subunit ribosomal RNA", at positions 28 to 417 of the family's 1533-position model. The record is from RNAcentral.